Molecule: long non-coding RNA, 3372 nt
Organism: Panicum hallii
Lineage: Eukaryota; Viridiplantae; Streptophyta; Magnoliopsida; Poales; Poaceae
Exons: 2
Source: RefSeq, a predicted model, not a curated record
GUUCGAUCUAGCGGAGAGGAGCUCAAUUCAGUAGGGAAUGAGCCUAAUUUAGUCUAGAAGACAUAGAAGACAUUGAUUUGGUUAGGAAGGAUUUUGCUCCGGUGGGAGCUCGGGGAGGAUUUCGAUCCAGCGUGAAACACCGUAUCUUGUUUUUCUUUUUAUUUCUUGCUGGUGAAAGGGAUUAUGGCACUUUCACUUACCAAAGCAUGGAGCCCGACGCAAGCUCGACGCGAUAGUCCGCUCUCAGCUUGAUUAGGGAAAAGUUAGGGAGGAUGUGGAUUAAUUUGGGCAGAGAAACUAAGAGAGAGCUGUUGGUUCGAUGAGGAAAGAGAGCAGAGGAAGAAGUAAGUUGGUGAAUGGGGAGGAAGGAGAUGUGCUACUUGCUGUUGCUAUUUGGAUUUGGAAGGGAGAGAUCGAUGGAGAAAGGAUGGAUGAUGGUUAGUGCCUGGGAGCCGCAGCUUCUUGCUUUCCCCAUUGGAAACGAAAGCUAAGAAGAAAGGAGGAGCUGCUGGCUUGCUUCACGUUCGUCGAGCUCGCAUGGCCGGCGGCCGGCGCAUCCAGCGACCGUCCAAGUGGUUUACAGAGGAAGGAGAGAGAAAGAAUUGAGCUACAACAUUUAUUAUGGACCUAUAUGAAGAAAUUAUAGGCAAUGGAGACCGUGGGAGCGGGGACGGCGGCGGGAGCGGAGGGGCAGCGGAGGCCGGUGAUUGAGAAGAACGGGAAUAGAGCGAGAGAGACAUGGACGAGCGAGAGAGGCCGGGAGAGACGAGGUGAGGGGUAAAACGGUCCGUUCAUGGGUACUGUAAAAUGAAAAUGAAAAAGAAAAUCUUGAAAUCAAGAAAAGAAGAAGAAAUCCCCUGAAUCGAAACAAUUCGCAUGUAGAGGGUUAUAUUUCGAAAGACUUGCGAAUUGGAUGUCAAAAACAGUGAGACACGCGGAUUCGAUGUCAAAUAUUGAAAUUUCUCCCUUUGCUCCGUACCUCCAAUCGCAUUCCAAUCCAAUAUGUAGCAGCUGCCCUUAAAUCCUCUUUACUCCUCAUGCCGCAUCUAUGUGUUUUCCCCACCGUGAAGGAGCAACAGCAGCAGAGAAAGGCCGCGGCUUCUCCCCACCGUCUCCCUCAAAUCGAUAGCCUUUCUUCUUCCACUGGAAGCCCCUCUGCACCUCAUCCAGCCACCUCUCCAAUUCACCAGCACUCCCCCGUGCUCCCUGUUUUUGGCAUAGACACUUCCAUCGACGAUGCCCUCAAUGUGUUCAAUGAAAUGGGCACAAGGUUCAAAGGACAGUACAGAGAUUGACAUGGUGUUCUCGACUUCUUGUCCUAGAGAUACUUUGUUUCGAAUUCAUGUGCUGGUUCUUUACCAUUAGGUUAUCAGUGGACUAUUUCUUUGUCACCUUGCUGUCAAUAUGCUACAUUUGCUAGGUACGGGUACAUAAACAUACACUCUAUUUCAGUUUGGAUAUAUGUUUUAAUGCAUUAUUUAACUACUCAUCAAAAUCCCCACUACAGUCAGACUAAUGUACGUGUACCUUGUUGCUAAAAUUAUUCCCUUCCAAGCUUGCCUUCUAGAUUUCUAGGUUUACUGGGCAAAGGAAAAAGAAAGAAAAUACAGUAUAAAUCAAAUGUGCAUAUAUAUAUUAUUUAUCUUUUUUUCAGAGAUGUUAUCAUGCAAGUUUUUAUAAAAAAUAUAGAAUAGCUUUUUUUUGAAUUCUCUGCCAAAUGCUUAUUUCCUUUUUGAUAAUGUAAACUAUGUCUUCCAUUUAAUAGAUCUUUCUUGUCUAACAUCUUUCCACCGGAACAUUGGUUGAUUACAUCAUAUAUGCCAUCAAAGUUUUAUUUACCAAUGAUAUUCAUAAUAUUUAAAAUGAAUUGAUCUCUGAUAAUUGAAAACGUGGAAGGACGAACUUACCAUGAUUCAUUUGAGUCCAAUUUUUCUAAUGUCCGAAAUGCUAAAUUAGGGGAUACUUUAUUGGUACAUAUUUUAAACAAAUUUUUAUGUAUACUCAAUUAUCGACUUUGCCUUCUCAUUAUCCAUGUGCUCUCCGCGUAAAGCAAUUGGCUGCAAUAAUGAUGAGAAAAGUUGCAGUAAUAAAGGUAGUUACUUCGAUGUCUUCCUCUCUUAGCAGCUCAUCAGUGGGAUGCUUUCUUAUCCAUGGCUAAAUAUAUCUUGUAGAGUUGAGGUCUGGCAAAAAUAUGCUUUCAUGUUUCAUCCACAUUUGUUAUUAGUCUAAGACGUGCUGUACUUGACAGGAUCGUGCAAUGUCUUAAACUGCUUGUCACUGUGAAAUUUGACAUGAUGCGUAAUCUGAAACUUACAUUUGAAUAAGCCUAUUGUUUAUGUUUAUUUUUCAUAUUUUAGUCCAGCAUGUUUCACCUUUUAGUUUAUCUAUCUCAUAUCUGAUCUGCUUGCUUGUAUGUUAUUAGUUAGAUAUGGAGCAUAUUGCUCCUAUAUUCUUUUCAUUUGAUCUGCUUGCUUGAUACGUUUUUAGUUAGAUAUGGAGCAUACUUGUGCUCAUCCAUAAAACCUAAUACUCUCUAGGUGUUUCAUUGAUGUGUUUUGUUACCUUAAUGAGAUAGAUGGAUGGCUUCCUGUGUUUUACCGUUGACAUUUGGCUUCUCGACGUGUUUAUUUCUUUGCUCUAAUCAGGCUUUGAACUAUAUGCGCAUCAAAUUGCUACGUGCAGACUGAUGCCAUCUCUGUUUCUUUUUAAUGUCAUACGCAGCCUCUCUGUUUACUGUUUUUCUGGAAUAUGACAUCCGAUGCCCGAGUAUUGUUGGUUGUACCUCAAUGCGCAAUGUUAUUAAUGCAAAUGCUUUCUAGGGGACUUGGAUGGUUUGACAAUUGCAAUGUACGUCCAUAAGCAAAGCUUUGCUAGCUUUGAUUUUUGUUGCUGUGUUAAUUCUCCUAACAUAUCUACAUUUUAAUUUUCACAGAAAGCUAUCAGUUUAAUAGUGCAUAAUGUUAGAGCUAUCCUAUCUUUGAUUAUCUGUUUCUUUAAUUGCACGUAGAUUUAUGGUGCUUGGAUAUGCUGUAAUACUGAUGCUCCAAAGGCUGGAUAGACACCUGAUGGACAGGAUAGCCUGGUGCUUGAAUAUCCUGUAAUAUUGAUGCUCCAAAUGCUGGAAAAACACCGGAUGGACAGGAUGGCCUGAUGCUCGGAUGUGCUGUCAUAGUGCUAAGACGUACUGUAAUAUUCCAAGUUUUCGGACAGACACUUCAUGGAUAGGAUAGCCUGUGCUCUCAGAUAUGUUGUAAUCUUCAUAAUUCAAAUGCUGGAUAGACACCUAUGAUGGAUAGUGUACGCACACUGCUCAAAUGUUAGCAUAUUAACGAUGUAUUUGUUACCAUAUGCUAUGAUUUUGUGUUGAAUUUA